AAGUUUUCUAGGUGGGCUUAAACAAGAAUGUUAAAAAGUAGGGUCAAAAGAAUGAUGGGCUUCGUACCAAUAUUAAAAGAAUGACGUAUUCGGUCCCUAUCUCUUCAGACACAGCUCUGAAACACGGGGUGACUCUUUGUGUUUCCAUCAAAAAGUUAACCCCUACGAAAUCCUCUUAUAUAAAGUUUUAUCUUAACCGGAGAAACAUUCCAUCUCAAAUACUCAACGAUUCCUCUACCAGGCGCAGCUUAUAACAUCUAUCGAAAAUGUCGUUUGCAACUCACCUUUCGACUCUCUCCGUCUUGGUCGUACAAAAAAUUAUGAAUUCAUGGGAAUUAUGUUUCUCUUCCUUAAUGAAAAGGCAAAGCCAUCUCUGAUCUAUCAUGACUUAUCUAUUACAACUGUCUUUAAUCGAUAAGAUUGUUAGGAUUGAAUUAUCAGAUCUGUCUCAAUCUGCAGGAUUGAACUGUCGCCCAUCCGUUUCCUUAAAAAGAGAUAGAUAUAUACUGUUUUGGAAAGGAAAGAGAUGGGUUCUAUAAUUAUUAUGUAUUAUUAUGUCUAUAUCUCUGAUGUCUUUGGUUGAUUAAAAGCUUGAGUCUUUUCCAUUUUUUGUAACUAAAAUAUCUGUCAUUAAACCUGGAUUAUAUCGUCCCAUGCUAACUUUACAAUUUUGGCAGGUGAUGGAGGUGAGAUACAAUCAGCUUAUCUGAGUGGACAGGGCAGCGCACUGUUCCAAAUGUGUUCAUCAAAGGAAAACAUAUCGGUGGAUGUGAUAGAGUGUUGGAGAGUUGAAGGAAAGUGAGCAUGUGUUAGCAUAACUUUUAAAUGUCUAUCUCUAAGAGCAUCUCCAUCUUUACUCUAUAAUUUACUGAAAAAUGGAGUAGGAAACGGAGUAGUGAAAAACAGAAAAGUGAUUAAUACAUAAAUGGAAAAAUUUUUUAUUUUUUGUUCAUACUCCAUGUUCUAUUCCAGUUUUGAAGUAAAUUAUGAAGUGGAAAUGGAGAUGCCCCGAGUUAUUAGAGAUUUGAUGUUGAAAAUCUGAGUAAAAGAGAAAUGACAUUUUGAUCAAAUAAAAGGAGAGAGAAAUGACAUUUAAUGAA
Molecule: long non-coding RNA, 1100 nt
Organism: Brassica napus (rape)
Lineage: Eukaryota; Viridiplantae; Streptophyta; Magnoliopsida; Brassicales; Brassicaceae
Exons: 2
Source: RefSeq, a predicted model, not a curated record